UACUAGGAUGGUUGACCUCCCGG
Molecule: non-coding RNA, 23 nt
Filed under: Arabidopsis thaliana (thale cress)
Lineage: Eukaryota; Viridiplantae; Streptophyta; Magnoliopsida; Brassicales; Brassicaceae
Source: RNAcentral